CCUACGGGGGGCAGCAGUGAGGAAUAUUGGUCAAUGGGCGCGAGCCUGAACCAGCCAAGUAGCGUGAAGGAUGACUGCCCUACGGGUUGUAAACUUCUUUUAUAAAGGAAUAAAGUGAGGCACGUGUGCCUGUUUGUAUGUACUUUGUGAAUAAGGCUCGGCUAAAUCCGUGCCAGCAGCCGCGGUAAUACGGAGGGUCCGAGCGUUAUCCGGAUUUAUUGGGGUUAAAGGGAGCGUAGAUGGGUUGUUAAGUCAGUGGUGAAAGUUUGCGGCUCAACCGUAAAAUUGCAGUUGAUACUGGCAGCCUUGAGUGCAGUUGAGGUAGGCGGAAUUCGUGGUGUAGCGGUGAAAUGCUUAGAUAUCACGAAGAACUCCGAUUGCGAAGGCAGCUUACUAACCUGCCACUGACAUUGAGGCUCGAAAGUGUGGGUAUCAAACAGGAUUAGAUACCCGAGUAGUC
This 460-nucleotide ribosomal RNA is filed under the name uncultured bacterium. Its description in RNAcentral is "partial 16S ribosomal RNA". It matches the Rfam family "Bacterial small subunit ribosomal RNA", at positions 338 to 795 of the family's 1533-position model. The record is from RNAcentral.